GGCACUACGGUGCUGAAGCAACAAAUGCCCUGCUUCCAGGAAAAGCCUCUAAGCAUCAGGUAACAUCAAAUCGUACCCCAAACCGACACAGGUGGUCAGGUAGAGAAUACCAAGGCGCUUGAGAGAACUCGGGUGAAGGAACUAGGCAAAAUGGUGCCGUAACUUCGGGAGAAGGCACGCUGAUAUGUAGGUGAAGCGACUUGCUCGUGGAGCUGAAAUCAGUCGAAGAUACCAGCUGGCUGCAACUGUUUAUUAAAAACACAGCACUGUGCAAACACGAAAGUGGACGUAUACGGUGUGACGCCUGCCCGGUGCCGGAAGGUUAAUUGAUGGGGUCAGCGCAAGCGAAGCUCUUGAUCGAAGCCCCGGUAAACGGCGGCCGUAACUAUAACGGUCCUAAGGUAGCGAAAUUCCUUGUCGGGUAAGUUCCGACCUGCACGAAUGGCGUAAUGAUGGCCAGGCUGUCUCCACCCGAGACUCAGUGAAAUUGAACUCGCUGUGAAGAUGCAGUGUACCCGCGGCAAGACGGAAAGACCCCGUGAACCUUUACUAUAGCUUGACACUGAACAUUGAGCCUUGAUGUGUAGGAUAGGUGGGAGGCUUUGAAGUGUGGACGCCAGUCUGCAUGGAGCCGACCUUGAAAUACCACCCUUUAAUGUUUGAUGUUCUAACGUGGACCCGUAAUCCGGGUUGCGGACAGUGUCUGGUGGGUAGUUUGACUGGGGCGGUCUCCUCCUAAAGAGUAACGGAGGAGCACGAAGGUUGGCUAAUCCUGGUCGGACAUCAGGAGGUUAGUGCAAUGGCAUAAGCCAGCUUGACUGCGAGCGUGACGGCGCGAGCAGGUGCGAAAGCAGGUCAUAGUGAUCCGGUGGUUCUGAAUGGAAGGGCCAUCGCUCAACGGAUAAAAGGUACUCCGGGGAUAACAGGCUGAUACCGCCCAAGAGUUCAUAUCGACGGCGGUGUUUGGCACCUCGAUGUCGGCUCAUCACAUCCUGGGGCUGAAGUAGGUCCCAAGGGUAUGGCUGUUCGCCAUUUAAAGUGGUACGCGAGCUGGGUUUAGAACGUCGUGAGACAGUUCGGUCCCUAUCUGCCGUGGGCGCUGGAGAACUGAGGGGGGCUGCUCCUAGUACGAGAGGACCGGAGUGGACGCAUCACUGGUGUUCGGGUUGUCAUGCCAAUGGCACUGCCCGGUAGCUAAAUGCGGAAGAGAUAAGUGCUGAAAGCAUCUAAGCACGAAACUUGCCCCGAGAUGAGUUCUCCCUGACUCCUUGAGAGUCCUGAAGGAACGUUGAAGACGACGACGUUGAUAGGCCGGGUGUGUAAGCGCAGCGAUGCGUUGAGCUAACCGGUACUAAUGAACCGUGAGG
Molecule: ribosomal RNA, 1367 nt
Filed under: Escherichia coli
Lineage: Bacteria; Pseudomonadati; Pseudomonadota; Gammaproteobacteria; Enterobacterales; Enterobacteriaceae
Description: partial 23S ribosomal RNA
Rfam family: Bacterial large subunit ribosomal RNA
Source: RNAcentral